CCUACGGGUGGCAGCAGUGAGGAAUAUUGGUCAAUGGACGAGAGCCUGAACCAGCCAAGUAGCGUGAAGGAUGACUGCCCUCUGGGUUGUAACCCUCUUUUAUAAAGGCAUAAAACGUGGCACGUGUACCUUUUUGCAUGUACUUUAUGAAUAAGGAUCGGCUAACUCCGUUCCCGCAGCCGCGGUAAUACUGAGGAUCCGAGCGUUAUCCGGAUUUAUUGGGUUUAAAGGGAGCGUAGGGGGGUUGUUAAGUCAGUUGUGAAAGUUUGGGGCUCAACCGUAAAAAUGCAAUUGAUACUGGCAGUCUUGAGUACAGUUGAGGUAGGCGGAAUGCGUGGUGUAGCGGGGAAAUGCAUAGAUAUAACGAAGAACCCCGAUUGCGAAGGCAGCUUACUAAACUGUGACUGACGUUGAUGCUCGAAAGUGUGGGGAGCAAACAGGAUUAGAUACCCGGGUAGUC
Molecule: ribosomal RNA, 460 nt
Filed under: uncultured bacterium
Lineage: Bacteria
Description: partial 16S ribosomal RNA
Rfam family: Bacterial small subunit ribosomal RNA
Source: RNAcentral